RNAcentral lists this ribosomal RNA (263 nucleotides) under uncultured bacterium. RNAcentral's name for it is "partial 16S ribosomal RNA". It matches the Rfam family "Bacterial small subunit ribosomal RNA", at positions 793 to 1055 of the family's 1533-position model. The record is from RNAcentral.
GUCCACGCCGUAAACGAUGUCUACUAGCCGUUAGGGUACUUGAUACCCUAGUGGCGCAGCUAACGCGAUAAGUAGACCGCCUGGGGAGUACGGCCGCAAGGUUAAAACUCAAAUGAAUUGACGGGGGCCCGCACAAGCGGUGGAGCAUGUGGUUUAAUUCGACGCAACGCGAAGAACCUUACCAGGCCUUGACAUCCUCGGAACUUUCUAGAGAUAGAUUGGUGCCGCAAGGAACCGAGAGACAGGUGCUGCAUGGCUGUCGU